Populus trichocarpa (black cottonwood) is the source of this 2616-nucleotide long non-coding RNA. RefSeq lists it as uncharacterized. The record is from RefSeq and is a predicted model, not a curated record. Lineage: Eukaryota; Viridiplantae; Streptophyta; Magnoliopsida; Malpighiales; Salicaceae. The transcript is spliced from 2 exons.
UAUACUUUAUAUAUAAACCAUUGUUUUUUUAAUAGUAAAAGAUCAUAAUUACUAAUAAGUAUGGCUGUUUCCGAGAGAUGAGGCAGAGGCAGGAAGGUCAUUGAGAAGUUAAAGAGAAAGCCCAGAUAAUGGAAGUGGCGUGAUAUUCAAUUCAGGUUUGGGUUGUCUGUGGGAAUACUCUCUGUGCAGGUUAAUAGCUUGAAGGAUUGAAUUUCUGCUCUAUAAUACAUUUAACCUUAUCAUCUUUUAUCCUUUGUGGGUAUUAUGGCCGAUCAUCCAUCAGUGUGGUAUGGUUGUGUGGGAGUGAAAGGCUUGACUUCCCUCGUUUUUUUGUGAUGCCAUUUCUUCACCUCAAGACGUACUGAUUACGAGGCAAGCUGAAGCUAAGUUUUCUAAUUGAAUAGAAACGAAGAAUUUACAACCAAAUGGUUCAAUAACCAGAGAUUCGUUCUGGAUUGUUCAACCUUGCCAUGUAGAUGCUGCCUGCCAAACUGACGACGAUAUUGAAUAAUUAUCCGACUGCCAGCCAGACAAAACAAAGUCAUGCAUGCAUGCAUCAUCAAUGGUCUUAAUAACCUGGAGCCUCUCUUAGUUCGUCAAAUCCUCCUGUCUGCUUGUAACUACCAUAGAAGAAUUGAUCAAUAUGUCCAUAAUAUCCUUGACCAUUUGCGACUUCCAGAUCCAUUCACAUGGGGUUGCACUGUUAGAUAUUUCUCGCAGCAAGGCCAAUUCAAGGAAGCCUUUAAUCUCUGUGCUCAGAUGCAGAGACAAGGGUUGUGUCAAGCGCAUUUGAUGUAUCCUCUGCUUAAUGGCGUAUGCUAGGACCUUUUACAAGAUGGUUGGAAUAUUGAUCCACGCUCAAAGUUAUAAAUAUGACUCUCUAGCUGUGUUUAUGCUCAAACAGCCCUUGUGGAUUUAUAUAUAAAACUGGGUGAUAUGAGCACUGCACAGAAGGUUUUUGAUGAGCUGGCGGAGAAGAAUGUAGUCUCAUGGAAUUCAAUUUUAUCUGGGCAUCUGAAAUCUGGGGAUUUACUAGAGGUUCAGUGGGUGUUUGACCAGAUUCCAAGGAAAGAUAUCAUAUCCUGGAAUUCAAUGAUAUCAGGGUAUGCAAAAAUAGAGGACAUGGACCGUGCAUUGUUUUGUUUCAACAGAUGCCAGAGAAAAACUAUUUUCUUGGAAUGCAUUCAUUAGUGUGUACGUUGAUUUUGGGAACAUAGAAUCAGCACGGAGAUUCUUUGAUGCAAUGCCCCAAAGAGACUGUUUCCUGGAUCACAAUGAUUGUUGGGUGCUCAAAAUGUGGAGAUGUUGUUUUAUCAGAUAGCUAAGAAGGAUCUGCUUACGUUUAAUGCCGUGAUAUCUUGCUUUGCUCAGAAUAGCCAACCGAAGAAGGCCUUUCAGUUGUUUAGCGAGAUGGUUUAAGCUUAUGCAAAUAUUCAGCCAGGUCAGAUUGACUUUGGUGAGUGUUGUAACAGCUUGUUUACAACUGGGGGACAGGAGAUUUGCGUCAUGGCUAGUCAUAUGUAAAUGAUAUUGGAACAGAUAUUGAUGACCCGUUGGUUACUGCUUUGCAUUACCUAUAUGCAUAGUGUGGGAGUGUUGAACAGGCAUAUGAUCUAUUUCAUGGCCUAAACAAUAAGGUUGCGGUUGCAUAUAGUGCAAUGAUCUCGGGAUGUGGCAUGAAUGGAAAGGUUGCCGAUGCCAUCAAGUUGUUGGAAAUGAUGGUGGACACCCAAACUCGUCUGAAUUUAGCUACCUUUACAGGGCUAUUUACAGGCAUGUAACCAUGCCGGUCUGGUUGAAGAGGGCUACCGAUUCUUUAGUUCCAUGAAGGACCAUGACCUGUACCUUCAAUUGAUCAUUAUGUAAUCAUGGUCACUCUUUUAGGGAGAGCUGGAAGAUUACAAGAGGCAUGUGAGCUGACCAUGCCAAUGCAGCCUCAUUCUAGGGCCUGGGGGACUUUGCUGCUUGCCUGCAGCGUGCAUAACAAUGUUGAGUUUGGAGAAAUUGCAGCUCAGCGUCGUUUUGAUUUGGAGCCUAAUGCAACUGCUUAUUAUUCUCUUCUUGCCAACAUUCAUUCCUCUGCUGGAAGGUGGGAUGAUGUCAGGAGAUUGAGGAAGUUGUGGAAAGAGAAGAAACUGUCCAAGUUAUCAGGGUGUAGUUAGAUAGAAUCAACGUAUAACCCUUUGAUAAUUGAAGGAUCAGAUGCUAGUCUGCUCCAAAUCUAGUUUUGGGAUGGCAAAUUAAUUCGAUUAUCAUGAAUCUGCUUCGAGUUUUAAAAUGCCUCAAGGCUUCAUCAGGGAGGCCAAUUCUGAUAUUAUGAAGGCUAAGAUUGACUUGGAAAAGGCAAAUUCUGGUACGAUAUGAAAUAUAAAGUUGAUUGGGAGAAGAUGAAUAUUUUCCCAGCUUCAUUAUCCUGAAAUUGUGGGCUGGGAUGUUCUUAUUUUCCAGUGGAUCAUACUCAGCAUGGCAAGGUCAUAUAAUGUCUGUAAACAUGUCCACUUUAUGGAUGGUUCACGAACAGCGGCAUGAUUAUAUACCCAUGUUUUCUUUAUCCUUUGGUUAAUUCUUUGUCCGCACAAGGUGCACUGAUUUUCUCCGAAUAAAUCAUUUCUUUUC